AUGUUUGGCAGCCGCUGCUGGAUCAGGCCCAUGCAACGGCUACCACAGCUUGUCUUCUCCAGCUUAGCUCCAGGUUAUCAGAGUCCAAGAACGCAGCAAAAGUUCUUUGAUCCCGACAAUGGCGCAGCGCGUGUGACGUGCAUCAGCAGCAUGAAGGCAGAGGGACCAGGACAAGUUUCAUCUGGAGAGGGGCUGAGCAUUAGGGUGGUUGUCAUUGGGAAGAUCUACAAUGAGGUAACAGCUGUUUGCAUAAUGGGGACUGGAUGGGCACAAGUCAUGAAAGACAAAGUCAGGCCAAGGGCCCGUAGGAUCCAGGAGGCCUUCGCACCCAUGAAAACACCGCUGCUGAGUCAGGCCCGGGGCUGCUUGCACACCCAAGAAAUACACAUGUGCUGAUAGAAAGCAGAUUUAAAAGGUACCUAAAAUAAUAGUUUGUUAAGACAGUAUUACAGUCAUAUAACUUGUUGGGAAAAGCACACCAUGGCUCAAAAUCUGAAUUAAACAUGUGUCAUUGGGGGUAAGUUUCAUUUAAAAUACCUAUAUCUGCUAAUUCUUUAAUAUGUUAAUGCUAUGCUGCU
This 578-nucleotide long non-coding RNA is filed under the name Anser brachyrhynchus (Pink-footed goose). RNAcentral describes it as "lncRNA (ENSABRG00000008283.1)". Lineage: Eukaryota; Metazoa; Chordata; Aves; Anseriformes; Anatidae. The record is from RNAcentral.